Molecule: long non-coding RNA, 1076 nt
Filed under: Brassica napus (rape)
Lineage: Eukaryota; Viridiplantae; Streptophyta; Magnoliopsida; Brassicales; Brassicaceae
Description: long non-coding RNA (BNAP_LNC002068)
Source: RNAcentral
UCGAUGUUGUAUAGAUGUUCAUAUGAUGUUAAUGGAUGUCCAGAUAUAUUACACUCAUAAUGCACGUUCUAUGACUAUAAACAUUACACUUUCGGUGGAGUGAUAUACUUACUGUCUAGUCUAAUUUUCCAUAUGCAGACCACUUUUCAAAUGUAUCUGUCAGUUUAUACUCAUGUUUGACUUUAGGUUCCAACUGUACCCUGAUUGUUUUGUGUUUGACAUCUCAAAAUAUUGAAUUUCACUGCCUUUAUACAUGGUUCAUGUGAAUUGGCAGGGCCUAAGUUCCUGGGAGCAGCUUGGCAGCGCCUGCAACUGAAUAUUUUUGAACGCGGGUUGCUCAUCGAAGUGUAUGGAGAUCGGGGAGUUGGAGAGUUAUGGUUUGUUCAUGUAACGCCAACCCAAUUAUCCCAGUUAUCGAGUAGAUUGAACCUUCCUUAGUAGGUGUCUAAAAGUGUUCAAUCGGUGGGGCGUUGACCAAGCUUUACCUGUUGGAAAAGAGAAACGUAAAAUCAAGAGCUUGGCAGGAGCAAUUUAUCAUAUGUUCUCCGGAGUUACCUGUUCAUCGAGGAUGAUCAUGUCCAUUCCCUGGAGCUCUCCUCCUUUCGUCACAUUAGGUGCCUCCCAGAACCUAAGCAGUAACACCUCCACAGUCUUAGUAGAACGACGAACUUUCAAAUCGAAGAGCAAUAGGUGAGAGGCUCCAUCGAUGGAAUCUGGGUUUUUAAGAGAAAGCUAUUGAUUCGGUGCGAGUGAUGAGUUUCAUCCUAGACUGCAAUGUUAUUUAUAGAAGGACUCCUCCGUUACUAUAGAGGAGUGAGAGGGCUAUUGAAUGUGAGGGAGUGGAGGAAGUGGGGAGAUGACGUAAAUGCGAUCAUUAUUGGGCGAUUGAAUGAUAGCCUAAGGCCGUCGGUGUUGUAUAAACCAAUGAUCGCAGCGGCUCCUUUUAGGUCAAUAAAUUACAAAGGACGGCCCAAUGGACUGCAAGGUUUCAAGUUUCGGGCCAGCGUAACAAAAGUUCAGUGUAAUAGAUUUCCAAGUUAAAUAUUAGACUGCCACGUGGCAGAAAAUGCCCAUCC